CAUCGUGGAGCAGCUCAAGAUUCCGGCCGCCCGCCGCGUCUCGCAGCUCACCGACGCUGAAGUUCUCCAGAUCCGCGAAAUGAUCGACCGCGACUUCCUGGUCGAGGGCGACCUGCGCCGCGAAGUCGGCAUGAACAUCAAGCGCCUGAUGGACCUCGGCUGCUACCGCGGCCUGCGUCAUCGCCGCGGCCUUCCGGUGCGCGGUCAGCGGACCCACACCAACGCGCGCACGCGCAAGGGUCCUGCCAA
Molecule: unclassified non-coding RNA, 249 nt
Filed under: Hevea brasiliensis (rubber tree)
Lineage: Eukaryota; Viridiplantae; Streptophyta; Magnoliopsida; Malpighiales; Euphorbiaceae
Source: RNAcentral